UAAGAGAACCUCUCUUAUAAACCUUUGUAAAUUGUUAACAUGGAAAUACAGGAUUUUCGUUUUUGACAGCUGGCAAAGUUUCUUUUUCUUAAUGGUAAUUCUAGGAUCAAAAGAAAGUACUAAUACUUGGCUAAUCACCAAGAGACAAGUUGUUAAUGGGUCAUUAAGCGUUGGCAAGGCUAAAGGCAGAAGCUGCAGUUACCUGCUUUUCUCAAGCAACAACAGCAGAGUGAGCAGAGGUUUGCCUGCUGUCACAGACCCACGGAAGAUUUCUACAGGUACCACAUUUACACAGGACCCACUAUGAUAACACUGAUCGGGAAACAAUGUGGUUGAACCGUCUGAUUCUGCCUUUAAACAGCAAAGGUCAGAGAAAAAGUCAUCAUCUGGGGUUUGUACCUGACUGGAACUAAAAGGGGGCACCUACGUAAUUUACACUGUACAAAUGGGAUCCAAACAAUAAAAAUGUAUCACUGUGAACAAGA
Long non-coding RNA from Falco peregrinus (peregrine falcon), 485 nucleotides. RefSeq lists it as uncharacterized. The record is from RefSeq and is a predicted model, not a curated record. The transcript is spliced from 2 exons. NCBI's taxonomy places the organism in Eukaryota, Metazoa, Chordata, Aves, Falconiformes, Falconidae.